RNAcentral lists this ribosomal RNA (1171 nucleotides) under uncultured bacterium. RNAcentral describes it as "bacterial SSU rRNA". It matches the Rfam family "Bacterial small subunit ribosomal RNA", at positions 108 to 1306 of the family's 1533-position model. The record is from RNAcentral.
GCGUAACACAUUGGUAACCUGCCUCGGACACGGGAAAAACCCCGCGAAAGCGGGGCUAAUUCCACGAUGAUGAUGAGGGGGCGCGAGCCAUUCUCAUCUAAAGCGCAAAACGCGCUCCGAGAGGGGCCUAUGGCUUAUCAGCUAGUUGGUGAGGUAACGGCCCACCAAGGCAAUGACGAGUAGCGGGUGUGAGAGCAUGACCCGCCUCACUGGGACUGAGACACUGCCCAGACACCUACGGGUGGCUGCAGUCGAGAAUAUUCCCCAAUGGCCGAAAGGCUGAGGGAGCGACGCCGCGUGCGGGAAGAAGGGCUUCGGCUCGUAAACCGCUUUUACCGGGGACGAAUUUUGACGGUACCCGGAGAAUAAGAAGUUGCUAACUCUGUGCCAGCAGCAGCGGUAAUACAGAGACCUCAAGCGUUAUCCGGAAUCAUUGGGCGUAAAGCGUACCGAUCGGCUGUCUUUUAAGUCUGGGGUAAAAUCCGGGGGCUCAACCUCCGGCUCGCCUCGGAUACUAGAAGGCUAGAGGGGCAAAGAGGUGCUUGGAACGAACGGUGUAGCAGUGAAAUGCGUUGAUAUCGUUCGGAACACCGAUAGCGAAAGCAGAGCACUGGUGCCUCCUGACGCUGCUAGGACGAAAGCGUGGGUAGCGAAUGGGAUUAGAUACCCCAGUAGUCCACGCUGUAAACUAUGCUGACUAGGCACGGGCGAGUAUCGACCCUUGUCCGCGCCGAAGCUAACGCGUUAAGUCACCGCCUGGGGAGUACGGUCGCAAGACUAAAACUUAAAGGAAUUGACGGGGAUCUGCACAAGCGGUGGAGCAUGUGGUUCAAUUCGACGAUAAGCGAGGAACCUUACCUAGACUUGACAUGCACUGCAUGCGCCAGAAAUGGCGCAGCCUUCGAGGGUGUGCACAGGUGAUGCACGGUUGUCGUCAGCUCGUGUCGUGAGAUGUUGCCUUAAGUGGCAGAACGAGCGCAACCCUUGUCGUCUGUUACUGUGUCAGACGAGACUGCCAGGGUUUAACCUGGAGGAAGGUGGGGAUGACGUCAAAUCAGCGUGUCUCUUACGUCCUGGGCCACACACGUGCUACAAUGGGGUGCACAAAGGGACGCCAAGUCGCAGACGGAGCCAAUCCCAUCAAACCACCCCUCAGUUCGGAUUGAGGGCU